GUGCUCGCUUUGGCAGCACAUAUGCUAAAAUUGGAACGAUACAGUGAAGAUUACAAUGGCCCCUGCGCAAGGAUGACAUGCAAAUGUGUGAAGUGUUCCAUAUUUAA
Otolemur garnettii (small-eared galago) is the source of this 107-nucleotide small nuclear RNA. Lineage: Eukaryota; Metazoa; Chordata; Mammalia; Primates; Galagidae. The record is from Ensembl.